AACAAAUAACACAAUUCCUAAUUAAGGAACUGAUCGCAGGCCUUCAUCAUAAUAUUUAUAUUCAUAGCUUCCACUGACUGAAAUCAAAACAAUUCGAUUGAGUUAUGCCCCUCUUUAUGUAUUACUAUACAAAAUACAACAAGAACAUAAAACAAUAACAAUAAUUUGGAAAUCAAUACGGUAUAAAGUAAUUGAUACUCAAAUAACAUACACAAACUAAA
Molecule: unclassified non-coding RNA, 221 nt
Filed under: Hevea brasiliensis (rubber tree)
Lineage: Eukaryota; Viridiplantae; Streptophyta; Magnoliopsida; Malpighiales; Euphorbiaceae
Source: RNAcentral